This is a long non-coding RNA of Triticum dicoccoides, 2909 nucleotides long. RefSeq lists it as uncharacterized. The transcript is spliced from 5 exons. The record is from RefSeq and is a predicted model, not a curated record. Lineage: Eukaryota; Viridiplantae; Streptophyta; Magnoliopsida; Poales; Poaceae.
GCCGGCCGGCUCGAGCGCGCGCCGGAGGAGAGGAGGUCGGCUGGAGGGGACCGACCAACGUCGUGGUGGUCUCGCCGGCGAGCGACGGGAGGAGGGCGGAGAUGAUGCGUAGGAGGGCGAGGCGGCUGUGUGCAGGAGGCUUCCCGACGGAUUGGGGAGACAGCGCGAGGCAUCUUCGACGGCAUGGGCCGGGGCGCCGUGCUUCCUCAGAUUCGCGUGUUGAGUGUGUGUCCAGUUUGUCGCUUCCCUCGACGUCGACGGCUCCAUGAUCAGUCGUGUUCUCUUCCUACUAAGCCAUGAUGAGAUUCACUUUUAUUUUAUAGAUCACCGAGUUCGCCGGCGGAAGAAGAACAUCUCUCGAGCCGUCCAAUGUUGCCUGCGGCGGCUACACCAGAGGUUCAGUUCACAAGAGCAACCAAAAAGGUUCCAGAUUCAUCUCAUGAUGAGGAGUGAGCAUGUGAAUUAAUGUGUGCAUGAAGCUAGACACAGUUCUUAUCAAGUGGGUCUGAAGGAGUUGGGCAGUGGGUGGUUCCCAUCACACUUUGCUGUUGUUCAUACUUGGUUCAGCGAAAGUUCUUUUUCCGUGGAAAACCGGAGGAUUUCAGUUUGUUAGUGCUCGUAGAAUGUCAAAGAAAGAUGGCAUAAGGAGGUUUAACCAAGAUGUCCUUUUGUUGGUUUUCCUGUGUAAUUAGCACUUACAAAUAUGGAGUACAGGUAGGAGAAUGCUACGGUUCUGCCUGCAUCUGAUGGGUGACGUGGCUCAGCCCAGCGGCUCUACAGAACCAUCAGAUAACCUAGGAUGAUCAUGCCUCUUUGCUAGAGAAGAUUGUAGCUUAUGAAGUUUGUGUCUGACUCGCCAUUAGAUCGUUCAAUAUGCUAUCUUGUGGUUUAAUUGAUGAUUUCUUUUUCUUAGUUUUCAGGCUGUGUAUACAAUCAGAAAUCUGAUAGACUGGAGAGAAGGCUAGGUGUUUGCCACAUUGUUUCGGCUACUUCCAUCUAGCGAUUCCAGAUUACUAAUACAGUGACAAUCCUUCAGAUUUAGGGGAUACAAUGUCGGAUUACAUUAUGUGGAUGUAUUGAAGGCAAAAAUUCUUGUGGUGGAGGUAUUACGUGCUACCACUUUAUCAGUACAUAACCAACUUCCAUUCUUUAUAAAUAGCAACAAGCAGUUUUCAUCUCCAAGCAUAUUCAAAAGCGAAAACAAUUCUUUGUAUUGUUUAUCAAAACUGUAUGAUGAGAUAGUUCAGAGUGUUGGGCUAAAAUUGGAGAACACAAGUUUAUCAGAAACAAUAAGAAUUUGUCAUCAAGGAUCUAAGAGCUCUGGAAAUAUGUUGUUCUCCUCUUUUGAUUCCCCUUUCAGUACAUAAGAUUGCAGACUCUGAUUUAUUAGUAUAAGGAUGAAAUUAACUUUAAAUACCAUAAUGCACCUCUGUUUGGUUGGAUUCAAAGUGCAAUAAUGUACAGAACAUUAACUAUUACUCCCUCCUUGCGGAAAUAAGUGAAGCUGUUUUAAUUCAAAAUCUAAAACAAUGUCACUUAUUUCCGGAUGGAGGGAGUAUAUGAUUUCUUUAUCUGGUUGCUGCAUCCCCUUUAUCCAUCAAAAUCAGUGUUCUACAAUGCUCAUUUAUGUUGGUUGGAAAGAGGAUCACAACAGAGGCACAAUAAACUGCCGGCAUAUUAACAUCAUAUUGGCAUAGUUGCAGUGUGAAAAUCUCUCGAGCUAGAUCUUAAGUAGGUUGUGCCUCUUUUGUUGCCCGGUGCAACGCACGGGCAUUUGCACUAGUAUUACUUGAAAUUCUUUUUGUGCUGGAAACGGGUGAAACUCGACUUGACAGUCAGUCAUCUUAGCUACUUGUUGAGGAGCUCUUCCUUUGCUCAUUCAUGUGGCCUACCACUGAGUACGUUGUUUAGUAUAUUUUUUCGUAAUUUUUAAAAUAUUGGUAGGAGGCACACUUUUGAUAUGUUAUAGCUCAAAUAAAUAAUGGCAACCACCAGAAACACCCCAACAAAUUCUGGUAUCAUCGUAAUAAUUGUAUCAACUACUACACGUGAAAGAUAGUGAUUAAUGCAUAAAACGACAUAGAAUGAACAACCAAGACCACUGUUAGUGGACCAUAAACGAGUGCAUGUGCUGAAAUUGAAUAACCAUAUACACACACUGGCCGAUAAAUGGCAAGAGAUGAGGUGCCUUCACAUUUACAAUGCCCAACUAUACACGCAAUCCGUGAUGUCAAACCAGCUUAGUUCUUAUUCCUGUAGAGACGAUGGACAUGCUUCAUGAAACAAUGACGGAGUGCGGACUGCACCAGAUCUUUGUUAGGUACCUAGGCUUGGAAGGCAUAGGAAAUUACUCUUCCGCAUCAUCUUAAUGUUACAUGACCAACUUGGUGCCUUCAACCUCCUUUAGGGGUGCUCAAAUGACGUGUAAAAGCCAGCUAGCCAGAGAACCCAAGAAAAAUAUUGACCUUGUCUAAACUGUUCUUGCUUAGACAUUGCAGUACAGCAGAUGUCAGGAGGUUUUUUGCUCUGCUUCCCCUGCCCAAAAGGCAUUUCUAGUGUUCUACUGUGUGAAAGAAUGACAUCAUGAUUCACGCACGACGUUUUGGAGAAGAAUUACUGGGUACUCUAGCAUGAUUAAUUAUUGUUCCGGUUAUUAGCACACCUAUGCUUGGUUCUUGGCAUUGCCAUGUGGUCGUUGGGGAACAGGUGGAGAUGGAAUCACCCGUUCGUUCUUUCGGAGACAGGCGAACAAAGCUACUGCCUUUCCUUUCUGACAUACUGGUGAUUUUAUCUACCGAAUUUUCCUCAGGAAAGAUGACGUUUUUUGAGUGUUUUUUUGUUCCAUGAAUGCACUACCCAUUGUAUAUAUGCAUAAGUACGUAAAUGUAGACUACUGAUACUGCAUUUGA